Eucalyptus grandis is the source of this 519-nucleotide long non-coding RNA. RefSeq lists it as uncharacterized. The transcript is spliced from 3 exons. NCBI's taxonomy places the organism in Eukaryota, Viridiplantae, Streptophyta, Magnoliopsida, Myrtales, Myrtaceae. The record is from RefSeq and is a predicted model, not a curated record.
GCAGAGAACGAGAGCGGACCAGGUCCUUGGCUGUCUCCGCUGCGAAUCUCCGCAUCGCUUUUUAUACCCACGAACGAGCGAAGCAAGAGAGAGAGAGACAGAGACACGGAGGGCUGGCUGGCGUGCGGGACGUGAAGGCGUGCGGAAUGAGGCAGGGAUACGAGGAAAUCGUCGUCAGCAAGGACCCCCUCAAGAGCAAGGAAGGGAUAGAAAAAGAAACUGCCACGUCAGAUAUCGGUAUCUUCCACCCGGCCAUUGGCAAAGUGCGCCCGACACUAUGGGUGAUCAGAUUUCCAAUGGCGUCACGUGCACAUGCAUCUCAUGAUUUUUUUCAUAGCAAAAGAAGCUGUCGAAUUGUAAUUGGACGGUCAGGUGGCACCACGGACUUUCUCUAAUCUUCUUCACAUCCUCCAUCCUCUUCUUUUCAAAGCGUUCAAAGCGGUUUUCGCUUUUCUCUUUCGUUCCAAAUUCUCGAAGCACUUUUGAAAUAGAAAAUGAAACCACCCAAUGACUUCUACA